AGUCUUGUGGUCUAGUGGCUAUGAUUUUCGUCUCACAUCAGAUUCUAUGAUUGUGUCCACGAAAGGUCCCGAGUUCGAACCUCGGCGGGACUA
Molecule: non-coding RNA, 93 nt
Organism: Peziza echinospora
Lineage: Eukaryota; Fungi; Ascomycota; Pezizomycetes; Pezizales; Pezizaceae
Source: the annotation of a GenBank genome assembly